This 256-nucleotide ribosomal RNA is filed under the name uncultured bacterium. RNAcentral describes it as "partial 16S ribosomal RNA". It matches the Rfam family "Bacterial small subunit ribosomal RNA", at positions 524 to 776 of the family's 1533-position model. The record is from RNAcentral.
GACGUAGGUGGCGAACGUUAUCCGGAAUUAUUGGGCGUAAAGGGUGCGUAGAUGGCCUGAUAAGUUAGCAGUGGGAAAUCGAGGCUCAACCCCGUGGAAGCUGGUAAUACUGUCAGGCUCGAGUGCAGGAGAGGUUAACGGAACUCCAUGUGGAGCGGUAAAAUGUGUAGAUAUAUGGAAGAACACCAAUAACGGCGAAGGCAGUUAACUAUUCUGUUACUGACAUUGAGGCACGAAAGCGUGGGGAGCAAAACGG